CUACGGGAGGCAGCAGUGGGGAAUAUUGCACAAUGGGGGAAACCCUGAUGCAGCAACGCCGCGAGAGUGAAGAAGUAUUUCGGUAUGUAAAGCUCUAUCAGCAGGGAAGAAAAUGACGGUACCUGACUAAGAAGCCCCGGCUAACUACGUGCCAGCAGCCGCGGUAAUACGUAGGGGGCAAGCGUUAUCCGGAUUUACUGGGUGUAAAGGGAGCGUAGACGGCGAGACAAGUCUGAAGUGAAAGCCCGGGGCUCAACCCCGGGACUGCUUUGGAAACUGCCUUGCUAGAGUGCUGGAGAGGUAAGUGGAAUUCCUAGUGUAGCGGUGAAAUGCGUAGAUAUUAGGAGGAACACCAGUGGCGAAGGCGGCUUACUGGACAGUAACUGACGUUGAGGCUCGAAAGCGUGGGGAGCAAACAGGAUUAGAUACCCUGGUAGUCCACGCCGUAAACGAUAAAUGCUAGGUGUUGGGGAGCAAAGCUCUUCGGUG
This 489-nucleotide ribosomal RNA is filed under the name uncultured bacterium. Its description in RNAcentral is "bacterial SSU rRNA". It matches the Rfam family "Bacterial small subunit ribosomal RNA", at positions 339 to 845 of the family's 1533-position model. The record is from RNAcentral.